UGCCUGAUGGAGACUUAACGAUAACAAUGCU
This 31-nucleotide non-coding RNA is filed under the name Rattus norvegicus (Norway rat). The record is from RNAcentral. Lineage: Eukaryota; Metazoa; Chordata; Mammalia; Rodentia; Muridae.